UGGGGAAUAUUGGACAAUGGGCGAAAGCCUGAUCCAGCCAUGCCGCGUGUGUGAAGAAGGUCUUCGGAUUGUAAAGCACUUUAAGUUGGGAGGAAGGGCAGUAAGCGAAUACCUUGCUGUUUUGACGUUACCGACAGAAUAAGCACCGGCUAACUCUGUGCCAGCAGCCGCGGUAAUACAGAGGGUGCAAGCGUUAAUCGGAAUUACUGGGCGUAAAGCGCGCGUAGGUGGUUCGUUAAGUUGAAUGUGAAAGCCCCGGGCUCAACCUGGGAACUGCAUCCAAAACUGGCGAGCUAGAGUAGGGCAGAGGGUGGUGGAAUUUCCUGUGUAGCGGAGAAAUGCGUAGAUAUAUGAAGGAACACCAGUGGCGAAGGCGACCACCUGGGCUCAUACUGACACUGAGGUGCGAAAGCGUGGGGAGCAAACAGG
Molecule: ribosomal RNA, 429 nt
Filed under: Pseudomonadota bacterium
Lineage: Bacteria; Pseudomonadati; Pseudomonadota
Description: Proteobacteria bacterium partial 16S ribosomal RNA
Rfam family: Bacterial small subunit ribosomal RNA
Source: RNAcentral